Molecule: ribosomal RNA, 803 nt
Filed under: uncultured bacterium
Lineage: Bacteria
Description: bacterial SSU rRNA
Rfam family: Bacterial small subunit ribosomal RNA
Source: RNAcentral
AGUGGCGAACGGGUGAGUAACACGUGGGCAACCUGCCCAAAAGAGGGGGAUAACACUUGGAAACAGGUGCUAAUACCGCAUAACCAUAGUUACCGCAUGGUAACUAUGUAAAAGGUGGCUAUGCUACCGCUUUUGGAUGGGCCCGCGGCGCAUUAGCUAGUUGGUGGGGUAAAGGCUUACCAAGGCAAUGAUGCGUAGCCAAACUGAGAGGUUGAUCGGCCACAUUGGGACUGAGACACGGCCCAAACCCCUACGGGAGGCAGCAGUAGGGAAUCUUCCACAAUGGGCGAAAGCCUGAUGGAGCAACGCCGCGUGGGUGAAGAAGGUCUUCGGAUCGUAAAACCCUGUUGUUAGAGAAGAAAGUGCGUGAGAGUAACUGUUCACGUUUCGACGGUAUCUAACCAGAAAGCCACGGCUAACUACGUGCCAGCAGCCGCGGUAAUACGUAGGUGGCAAGCGUUAUCCGGAUUUAUUGGGCGUAAAGGGAACACAGGCGGUCUUUUAAGUCUGAUGUGAAAGCCUUCGGCUUAACCGGAGUAGUGCAUUGGAAACUGGGAGACUUGAGUGCAGAAGAGGAGAGUGGAACUCCAUGUGUAGCGGUGAAAUGCGUAGAUAUAUGGAAGAACACCAGUGGCGAAAGCGGCUCUCUGGUCUGUAACUGACGCUGAGGUUCGAAAGCGUGGGUAGCAAACAGGAUUAGAUACCCUGGUAGUCCACGCCGUAAACGAUGAAUGCUAAGUGUUGGAGGGUUUCCGCCCCUCAGUGCUGCAGCUAACGCAAUAAGCAUUCCGCCUGGGGAGUAC